GGCUUUAUAGUCAAUAAUAUGAUAUUAGACUGCAAUUCUAAAGGAGUAACUUAAUUACUAAAGCUU
Molecule: transfer RNA, 66 nt
Filed under: Ptychoptera scutellaris
Lineage: Eukaryota; Metazoa; Arthropoda; Insecta; Diptera; Ptychopteridae
Description: tRNA-Cys
Source: RNAcentral